RNAcentral lists this ribosomal RNA (459 nucleotides) under uncultured bacterium. RNAcentral's name for it is "partial 16S ribosomal RNA". It matches the Rfam family "Bacterial small subunit ribosomal RNA", at positions 338 to 795 of the family's 1533-position model. The record is from RNAcentral.
CCUACGGGAGGCAGCAGUGAGGAAUAUUGGUCAAUGGGCGGGAGCCUGAACCAGCCAAGCCGCGUGAAGGAAGGAGGUACCGAGCAUUGUAAACUUCUUUUGUCAGGGAACAAAGGCGGGCACGAGUGCCUGGAUGAGGGUACCUGAAGAAAAAGCAUCGGCUAACUCCGUGCCAGCAGCCGCGGUAAUACGGAGGAUGCGAGCGUGAUCCGGAUUUAUUGGGUUUAAAGGGGGCGUAGGCGGGCUGUUAAGUCAGCGGUAAAAGCCCGGGGCUCAACCCCGGCGAGCCGUUGAAACUGGCGGUCUUGAGUUGGAGAGAGGUACGCGGAAUGCGCGGUGUAGCGGUGAAAUGCUUAGAUAUCGCGCAGAACCCCGAUUGCGAAGGCAGCGUACCGGCUCCGCUCUGACGCUGAGGCACGAAAGCGUGGGUAUCGAACAGGAUUAGAUACCCUAGUAGUC